AUGGAUCCAAGGAUCCCAUGGAUCAGCCGGAAAUUUGGGAAUUUCUCCCUCCCACGGACACAACCUUUUCCCACGACUCCGGGAUCCGCUCGGGCCGUGGAUUCCCGUCUCCCUCUCCCGUUUUCCUGCGGAAUUCCGGGAAUUCCGGCCCACCUUGACCACCAGGAUGUAUCCCUCGGGGGGCACGAGGCCGAUCUCGUCCUUCAGCUCCAGCACGGCCCGGACCAGAUCCGUGACGUUCCCGUAGAUCCGAUCGUCCGUGCGGUCCAGCCGGGCCGUGGGCGCCGCCUGCAGGGGCUGAGGGGAAAUCCGGGAUCGGCCGGAUCCCGGGAAAACGGGAAUUCCCAUCCCGGGAAAAACGGGAAUUCCCAUCCCGGGAAAAACGGGAAUUCCCAUCCCGGGAAAAAUGGGUGUUCCCAUCCUGGGGAAAACGGGAAUUCCCAUCCCGGGAAAAACGGGCGUUCCCAUCCUGGGGAAAACGGGAAUUCCCAUCCCGGGAAAAACGGGCGUUCCCAUCCCGGGAAAAACGGGAAUUCCCAUCCCGGGAAAAACGGGAAUUCCCAUCCCGGGAAAAACGGGAGUUCCUAUCCCGGGAAAAACGGGAAUUCCCAUCCCCGGAAAAACGGGCGUUCCCAUCCCGGGAAAAACGGGAAUUCCCAUCCCCGGGAAAAACAGGAAUUCCCAUCCCGGGAAAACAGGAAUUCCUAUCCCGGGAAAAACGGGAAUUCCCAUCCCGGGAAAAACGGGAAUUCCCAUCCCGGGAAAAACGGGAAUUCCCAUCCCGGGAAAAACGGGAAUUCCCAUCCCCGGGAAAAACGGGAAUUCCCAUCCCGGGAAAAACGGGAAUUCCCAUCCCGGGAAAAACGGGAAUUCCCAUCCCCGGGAAAAACGGGAAUUCCCAUCCCGGGAAAAACGGGAAUUCCCAUCCCGGGAAAAACGGGAAUUCCCAUCCCCGGGAAAAAACGGGAAUUCCCAUCCCCGGGAAAAAGGGGCGUUCCCAUCUCAGGAAAAACGGGAAUUCCCAUCCCCGGAAAAACGGGCGUUCCCAUCCCGGGAAAAACGGGAAUUCCCAUCCCGGGAAAAACGGGAAUUCCCAUCCCGGGAAAACGGGAAUUCCCAUCCCGGGAAAAACGGGAAUUCCCAUCCCGGGAAAAACGGGAAUUCCCAUCCCGGGAAAAACGGGAAUUCCCAUCCCGGGAAAAACGGGAAUUCCCAUCCCCGGAAAAACGGGAAUUCCCAUCCCGGGAAAAAUGGGUGUUCCCAUCCCGGGAAAAACGGGAAUUCCCAUCCCGGGAAAAACGGGAAUUCCCAUCCCGGGAAAAACGGGAAUUCCCAUCCCCGGAAAAAGUCGGGAUGGGGAUUGGAGAAGUCGGGAAUUCCGCGCCCGUGGAACAGGGUGGGAUGGGAAGUUGCUUCCCAAGGAAAGCGUUCCGGGAUUUUGGGAUGGAAUUCCUGGAGAAUUCCCGGAAGUGUCCAAGGAAAAUUUGGAUCACUCCGGGAUCAUGGGAAGUGUCCCUGGGAUGGGAUUGGAGCUCCAUGGAUCCCAUCCCAAACCAUUCCGGGAUUCUGGGAUCGAGGACGCUCAGGAUCCAUCCCGAGGGAUUUUUAUGGAAUUCAGGGAUGGAAAAGGGAAGGGAGACCCUUCCUGGAGUCCCGAAUUCCCAGUGA
This 1668-nucleotide long non-coding RNA is filed under the name Taeniopygia guttata (zebra finch). RNAcentral describes it as "lncRNA (ENSTGUG00000019963.1)". The record is from RNAcentral. Lineage: Eukaryota; Metazoa; Chordata; Aves; Passeriformes; Estrildidae.